AAUGCCUAGGAAUCUGCCUGGUAGUGGGGGAUAACGUUCGGAAACGGACGCUAAUACCGCAUACGUCCUACGGGAGAAAGCAGGGGACCUUCGGGCCUUGCGCUAUCAGAUGAGCCUAGGUCGGAUUAGCUAGUUGGUGAGGUAAUGGCUCACCAAGGCGACGAUCCGUAACUGGUCUGAGAGGAUGAUCAGUCACACUGGAACUGAGACACGGUCCAGACUCCUACGGGAGGCAGCAGUGGGGAAUAUUGGACAAUGGGCGAAAGCCUGAUCCAGCCAUGCCGCGUGUGUGAAGAAGGUCUUCGGAUUGUAAAGCACUCUAAGUUGGGAGGAAGGGUUGUAGAUUAAUACUCUGCAAUUUUGACGUUACCGACAGAAUAAGCACCGGCUAACUCUGUGCCAGCAGCCGCGGUAAUACAGAGGGUGCAAGCGUUAAUCGGAAUUACUGGGCGUAAAGCGCGCGUAGGUGGUUUGUUAAGUUGGAUGUGAAAUCCCCGGGCUCAACCUGGGAACUGCAUUCAAAACUGACUGACUAGAGUAUGGUAGAGGGUGGUGGAAUUUCCUGUGUAGCGGUGAAAUGCGUAGAUAUAGGAAGG
Molecule: ribosomal RNA, 596 nt
Filed under: uncultured bacterium
Lineage: Bacteria
Description: bacterial SSU rRNA
Rfam family: Bacterial small subunit ribosomal RNA
Source: RNAcentral